AUCCAGCUGAAGAGUCCCGAAUAGGACAAAACUCACAUCGUGGAU
RNAcentral lists this non-coding RNA (45 nucleotides) under Schistosoma mansoni. Lineage: Eukaryota; Metazoa; Platyhelminthes; Trematoda; Strigeidida; Schistosomatidae. The record is from RNAcentral.